AUAGAAAAUAAAACACAUACUGUUUUAUUAUAUUUAUAUUAUUUAUCAGGUAGUGAUAAAUUCUAUCACUACCUGACAAUACAGUAUGUGUUUGUUUUAUAUGUUU
RNAcentral lists this microRNA precursor (106 nucleotides) under Pongo abelii (Sumatran orangutan). RNAcentral's name for it is "miRNA". Lineage: Eukaryota; Metazoa; Chordata; Mammalia; Primates; Hominidae. The record is from RNAcentral.